This 2787-nucleotide ribosomal RNA is filed under the name Escherichia coli. Its description in RNAcentral is "bacterial LSU rRNA". It matches the Rfam family "Bacterial large subunit ribosomal RNA". Lineage: Bacteria; Pseudomonadati; Pseudomonadota; Gammaproteobacteria; Enterobacterales; Enterobacteriaceae. The record is from RNAcentral. RNAcentral also lists the same sequence under 2 other names.
AGCGUACACGGUGGAUGCCCUGGCAGUCAGAGGCGAUGAAGGACGUGCUAAUCUGCGAUAAGCGUCGGUAAGGUGAUAUGAACCGUUAUAACCGGCGAUUUCCGAAUGGGGAAACCCAGUGUGUUUCGACACACUAUCAUUAACUGAAUCCAUAGGUUAAUGAGGCGAACCGGGGGAACUGAAACAUCUAAGUACCCCGAGGAAAAGAAAUCAACCGAGAUUCCCCCAGUAGCGGCGAGCGAACGGGGAGCAGCCCAGAGCCUGAAUCAGUGUGUGUGUUAGUGGAAGCGUCUGGAAAGGCGCGCGAUACAGGGUGACAGCCCCGUACACAAAAAUGCACAUGCUGUGAGCUCGAUGAGUAGGGCGGGACACGUGGUAUCCUGUCUGAAUAUGGGGGGACCAUCCUCCAAGGCUAAAUACUCCUGACUGACCGAUAGUGAACCAGUACCGUGAGGGAAAGGCGAAAAGAACCCCGGCGAGGGGAGUGAAAAAGAACCUGAAACCGUGUACGUACAAGCAGUGGGAGCACGCUUAGGCGUGUGACUGCGUACCUUUUGUAUAAUGGGUCAGCGACUUAUAUUCUGUAGCAAGGUUAACCGAAUAGGGGAGCCGAAGGGAAACCGAGUCUUAACUGGGCGUUAAGUUGCAGGGUAUAGACCCGAAACCCGGUGAUCUAGCCAUGGGCAGGUUGAAGGUUGGGUAACACUAACUGGAGGACCGAACCGACUAAUGUUGAAAAAUUAGCGGAUGACUUGUGGCUGGGGGUGAAAGGCCAAUCAAACCGGGAGAUAGCUGGUUCUCCCCGAAAGCUAUUUAGGUAGCGCCUCGUGAAUUCAUCUCCGGGGGUAGAGCACUGUUUCGGCAAGGGGGUCAUCCCGACUUACCAACCCGAUGCAAACUGCGAAUACCGGAGAAUGUUAUCACGGGAGACACACGGCGGGUGCUAACGUCCGUCGUGAAGAGGGAAACAACCCAGACCGCCAGCUAAGGUCCCAAAGUCAUGGUUAAGUGGGAAACGAUGUGGGAAGGCCCAGACAGCCAGGAUGUUGGCUUAGAAGCAGCCAUCAUUUAAAGAAAGCGUAAUAGCUCACUGGUCGAGUCGGCCUGCGCGGAAGAUGUAACGGGGCUAAACCAUGCACCGAAGCUGCGGCAGCGACGCUUAUGCGUUGUUGGGUAGGGGAGCGUUCUGUAAGCCUGCGAAGGUGUGCUGUGAGGCAUGCUGGAGGUAUCAGAAGUGCGAAUGCUGACAUAAGUAACGAUAAAGCGGGUGAAAAGCCCGCUCGCCGGAAGACCAAGGGUUCCUGUCCAACGUUAAUCGGGGCAGGGUGAGUCGACCCCUAAGGCGAGGCCGAAAGGCGUAGUCGAUGGGAAACAGGUUAAUAUUCCUGUACUUGGUGUUACUGCGAAGGGGGGACGGAGAAGGCUAUGUUGGCCGGGCGACGGUUGUCCCGGUUUAAGCGUGUAGGCUGGUUUUCCAGGCAAAUCCGGAAAAUCAAGGCUGAGGCGUGAUGACGAGGCACUACGGUGCUGAAGCAACAAAUGCCCUGCUUCCAGGAAAAGCCUCUAAGCAUCAGGUAACAUCAAAUCGUACCCCAAACCGACACAGGUGGUCAGGUAGAGAAUACCAAGGCGCUUGAGAGAACUCGGGUGAAGGAACUAGGCAAAAUGGUGCCGUAACUUCGGGAGAAGGCACGCUGAUAUGUAGGUGAGGUCCCUCGCGGAUGGAGCUGAAAUCAGUCGAAGAUACCAGCUGGCUGCAACUGUUUAUUAAAAACACAGCACUGUGCAAACACGAAAGUGGACGUAUACGGUGUGACGCCUGCCCGGUGCCGGAAGGUUAAUUGAUGGGGUUAGCGCAAGCGAAGCUCUUGAUCGAAGCCCCGGUAAACGGCGGCCGUAACUAUAACGGUCCUAAGGUAGCGAAAUUCCUUGUCGGGUAAGUUCCGACCUGCACGAAUGGCGUAAUGAUGGCCAGGCUGUCUCCACCCGAGACUCAGUGAAAUUGAACUCGCUGUGAAGAUGCAGUGUACCCGCGGCAAGACGGAAAGACCCCGUGAACCUUUACUAUAGCUUGACACUGAACAUUGAGCCUUGAUGUGUAGGAUAGGUGGGAGGCUUUGAAGUGUGGACGCCAGUCUGCAUGGAGCCGACCUUGAAAUACCACCCUUUAAUGUUUGAUGUUCUAACGUUGACCCGUAAUCCGGGUUGCGGACAGUGUCUGGUGGGUAGUUUGACUGGGGCGGUCUCCUCCUAAAGAGUAACGGAGGAGCACGAAGGUUGGCUAAUCCUGGUCGGACAUCAGGAGGUUAGUGCAAUGGCAUAAGCCAGCUUGACUGCGAGCGUGACGGCGCGAGCAGGUGCGAAAGCAGGUCAUAGUGAUCCGGUGGUUCUGAAUGGAAGGGCCAUCGCUCAACGGAUAAAAGGUACUCCGGGGAUAACAGGCUGAUACCGCCCAAGAGUUCAUAUCGACGGCGGUGUUUGGCACCUCGAUGUCGGCUCAUCACAUCCUGGGGCUGAAGUAGGUCCCAAGGGUAUGGCUGUUCGCCAUUUAAAGUGGUACGCGAGCUGGGUUUAGAACGUCGUGAGACAGUUCGGUCCCUAUCUGCCGUGGGCGCUGGAGAACUGAGGGGGGCUGCUCCUAGUACGAGAGGACCGGAGUGGACGCAUCACUGGUGUUCGGGUUGUCAUGCCAAUGGCACUGCCCGGUAGCUAAAUGCGGAAGAGAUAAGUGCUGAAAGCAUCUAAGCACGAAACUUGCCCCGAGAUGAGUUCUCCCUGACUCCUUGA